Molecule: ribosomal RNA, 405 nt
Filed under: uncultured bacterium
Lineage: Bacteria
Description: bacterial SSU rRNA
Rfam family: Bacterial small subunit ribosomal RNA
Source: RNAcentral
UAGGGAAUAUUGCUCAAUGGGCGAAAGCCUGAAGCAGCAACGCCGCGUGGAGGAUGACACUUUUCGGAGCGUAAACUCCUUUUCUUAGGGAAGAAAUUUGACGGUACCUAAGGAAUAAGCACCGGCUAACUCCGUGCCAGCAGCCGCGGUAAUACGGAGGGUGCAAGCGUUACUCGGAAUCACUGGGCGUAAAGGACGCGUAGGCGGAUUAUCAAGUCUUUUGUGAAAUCUAAUGGCUUAACCAUUAAACUGCUUGAGAAACUGAUAAUCUAGAGUGAGGGAGAGGCAGAUGGAAUUGGUGGUGUAGGGGUAAAAUCCGUAGAGAUCACCAAGAAUACCCAUUGCGAAGGCGAUCUGCUAGAACUCAACUGACGCUAAUGCGUGAAAGCGUGGGGAGCAAACAGG